This 430-nucleotide ribosomal RNA is filed under the name Pseudomonadota bacterium. Its description in RNAcentral is "Proteobacteria bacterium partial 16S ribosomal RNA". It matches the Rfam family "Bacterial small subunit ribosomal RNA", at positions 355 to 776 of the family's 1533-position model. Lineage: Bacteria; Pseudomonadati; Pseudomonadota. The record is from RNAcentral.
UGGGGAAUAUUGGACAAUGGGGGGAACCCUGAUCCAGCCAUGCCGCGAGUGUGAAGAAGGCCUUAUGGUUGUAAAGCACUUUAAGCGAGGAGGAGGGUACUGGUAUUAAUACUACCAGGUACUGGACGUUACUCGCAGAAUAAGCACCGGCUAACUCUGUGCCAGCAGCCGCGGUAAUACAGAGGGUGCAAGCGUUAAUCGGAAUUACUGGGCGUAAAGCGCGCGUAGGUGGUUCGUUAAGUUGAAUGUGAAAGCCCCGGGCUCAACCUGGGAACUGCAUCCAAAACUGGCGAGCUAGAGUAGGGCAGAGGGUGGUGGAAUUUCCUGUGUAGCGGUGAAAUGCGUAGAUAUAGGAAGGAACACCAGUGGCGAAGGCGACCACCUGGGCUCAUACUGACACUGAGGUGCGAAAGCGUGGGGAGCAAACAGG